Molecule: transfer RNA, 76 nt
Filed under: Pseudomonas fluorescens
Lineage: Bacteria; Pseudomonadati; Pseudomonadota; Gammaproteobacteria; Pseudomonadales; Pseudomonadaceae
Also listed under: 3 other names
Description: tRNA-Ala
Rfam family: tRNA
About the family: Transfer RNA (tRNA) molecules are approximately 80 nucleotides in length. Their secondary structure includes four short double-helical elements and three loops (D, anti-codon, and T loops). Further hydrogen bonds mediate the characteristic L-shaped molecular structure. tRNAs have two regions of fundamental functional importance: the anti-codon, which is responsible for specific mRNA codon recognition, and the 3' end, to which the tRNAs corresponding amino acid is attached (by aminoacyl-tRNA synthetases). tRNAs cope with the degeneracy of the genetic code in two manners: having more than one tRNA (with a specific anti-codon) for a particular amino acid; and 'wobble' base-pairing, i.e. permitting non-standard base-pairing at the 3rd anti-codon position.
Source: RNAcentral
GGGGUUGUAGCUCAGCGGGAAGAGCGCUUGCAUGGCAUGCAAGAGGUCGUCGGUUCGAACCCGACCUGCUCCACCA